RNAcentral lists this ribosomal RNA (433 nucleotides) under uncultured bacterium. RNAcentral's name for it is "partial 16S ribosomal RNA". It matches the Rfam family "Bacterial small subunit ribosomal RNA", at positions 29 to 507 of the family's 1533-position model. The record is from RNAcentral.
AACGAACGCUGGCGGCAGGCCUAACACAUGCAAGUCGAGCGAGGACUUCGGUCCUAGCGGCUGACGGGUGAGUAACGCGUGGGAACGUGCCCUUUGCUUCGGACUAUCCCUGGGAAACUAGCAGUAAUAACGGAUUAGCCCAUUGGGGGAAAGAUUUAUCGGCGAAGGAUCGGCCCGCGUUGGAUUAGGUGGUUGGUGGGGUAAUGGCCUACCAAGCCGACGAUCCAUAGCUGGUCUGAGAGGAUGAUCAGCCACACUGGGACUGAGACACGGCCCAGACGCCGAAGGGAGGCAGCAGUGGGGAAUCUUAGACAAUGGGGGAAACCCUGAUCUAGCCAUGCCGCGUGAGCGAUGAAGGCCUUAGGGUUGUAAAGCUCUUGCAGCUGGGAAGAUAAUGACGGUACCAGCAGAAGAAGCCCCGGCUAACUCCGUG